CNCGNNAAACCUUACCUACCCUUGACAUGUACGGAACUUGCCAGAGAUGGCUUGGUGCUCGAAAGAGAGCCGUAACACAGGUGCUGCAUGGCUGUCGUCAGCUCGUGUCGUGAGAUGUUGGGUUAAGUCCCGCAACGAGCGCAACCCUUGUCAUUAGUUGCUACAUUUAGUUGGGCACUCUAAUGAGACUGCCGGUGACAAACCGGAGGAAGGUGGGGAUGACGUCAAGUCCUCAUGGCCCUUAUGGGUAGGGCUACACACGUCAUACAAUGGCUGGUACAAAGGGUUGCCAACCCGCGAGGGGGAGCUAAUCCCAUAAAGCCAGUCGUAGUCCGGAUCGUAGUCUGCAACUCGACUGCGUGAAGUCGGAAUCGCUAGUAAUCGUGGAUCAGAAUGUCACGGUGAAUACGUUCCCGGGUCUUGUACACACCGCCCGUCACACCAUGGGAGCGGGUCUCGCCAGAAGUAGUUAGCCUAACCGCAAGGGGGG
Molecule: ribosomal RNA, 490 nt
Filed under: uncultured bacterium
Lineage: Bacteria
Description: bacterial SSU rRNA
Rfam family: Bacterial small subunit ribosomal RNA
Source: RNAcentral